AAUUGCACUCGUGCAGCACGAGUUUUGCCAAUCGAAAACGCUAUUAAAAACCACAAUUUGAUGCGAAUAGUAAAAAUACAGAUUAGCUAAUCCUAAUUUGACAUUAAAUAAUCAAGUUACUGUUUCCAUAGCGGUCACAGAUUAUCAUUUAAAGCAAAUUCGCAGUGGCGUAGCAGGAAUAAUCAACUAGUUCCGAAACUCUCUCCGAGUUGGAUGCUGCCCCUGAUGACUUUUUGUCGAUGCACCAAAGGAUGUGAUAGUGACAGGUGUGGUUGUAGAAACCCAUCGUUAAACUGCUCUGUCGCAUGUUCGAAUUGGAAGGGCAUUUGCACCAAUGGAGUCGGUACAUUAAUUCAAGAAGAAGGCGACGACAACGAUAUUGAAUUGAAUCCAUUUAAAUAAAAAUAGUUUUAGUAACUAUGCGGCAAUGUACUACAGCGAAAAGAUCUAGAUCGGCAAAGUUCAUUCUCGAAAUCCAGCAAAGGUCGAAACAUGUUAAUGAUUUUCUGUUAUAAAGUAUACGUAGUAGAUGAUAAAUGGAUAAAUAAUAAUACUAUAGACCUAAUAAUAAUGACAAAAAAAUGCUUUUAAAGUGGUGAAAUGUAGGGUUAUGUUACUUUACUGUAAUUUACAUUGGCUGUACUUAUGUUGGCAACGGCAAAACCAGUGGGCGGAACCUCGGGCGGAACGACGUUGUUUUUAAAAACAUAACCUCUAAGUUGAAGUAUAUUAAUUAUUAUUUGUAGAUAAUCGUCCUAAUUUCAGUAUGAAUGUUUAAGCACAGAUUUAAGUAUAUUUAAAUCUGUGGUUUAAGUAAUCUAUCAUAAGGAAAAACAACAAAGGAGUGCAACUACUUUAGAUUAAGUACCUAUAAUAAUAAUAGUGGCAGUUGCCUUAAGCCCAAGAAGGAUGCUCCACCUUUAACAGCACAACAAGUUACCUAAAAUGCGAAACACGUUGCCAAGAGGACAUUGGUUCUGGGGCCACUGUUUUUCCAGUUAAUGUGUUUGCGAUGGCCACUUUAGCGUGAAGGGAAUCCUCGAUCUACCCUUCCGCCACGGCAGAAGAUUUCCACUCUCCAUGGCGUUUCAGUGCUAGGAAAUCAGCUCCUUGCCUUGCGCAGAGCUCCGCCUAAAGCAAUGCCCUGUAAAGCUUUGAGCAUUGGGAAGAUGCAGAAACUCAGCAAUCUUUCGUGUCAUGCUAUCGAAGGAAUUCAUACCUACUGGCUGCCGUGUACACUUAUUAUUAGUGUAAUAAAUGAAAAACCGAUUAUGGGAUGUAUUUUUUCUAGUAUAACUUGUUCUGUAUAUUCCGUAAUGCUGUUUUCUGCACCACUUCGUGAACUUCACAUACUCUUCACUAUAACGAUUUGAUGAUUUUUUUGGCAGUAGAUUUGCCAUCGCCUUAUUUGCACAAACUUGUACGUGCUCUGGUGUACUCAUUUUGACGUAAAUAAAAAAAUUCAAAUCAAAGAAAUUUCAAAUUCAAAUGUCAAAAUGGCGAACAGCAGUGCUACCAACGCAAUAUUGCGUAGAAAAAAAAAACCAAUAUAACUUUUAAAUGUUAUUUAUUUGAGUUAUUUAAAUAUUUCAAUAAGUAAAAGCAGCACAAAAAAUGUUGUAUGGUACGCGAGCUGAAAACUAUAGCGUAAACUCGCUUCCAUGCCGCGUUCGGCCUGCGGCCUCACGCGUCAUUAACGCUCAUUACGCUAUAACGUAUUU
Long non-coding RNA from Photinus pyralis (common eastern firefly), 1721 nucleotides. RefSeq lists it as uncharacterized. Lineage: Eukaryota; Metazoa; Arthropoda; Insecta; Coleoptera; Lampyridae. The transcript has 3 exons. The record is from RefSeq and is a predicted model, not a curated record.